This 138-nucleotide small nucleolar RNA is filed under the name Ornithorhynchus anatinus (platypus). Lineage: Eukaryota; Metazoa; Chordata; Mammalia; Monotremata; Ornithorhynchidae. The record is from RNAcentral.
CCCCUCUCAGGGUCACACCUGGAGAGUGUCCAGUACUCUACCAGUCUCGACUACGGGAGGGAGAGUCAAGCAGAGACAUAUCCAUUCCAUUCCUUGCUUGGUCAGUGGCUAGUGAGGGGAAGGCAAUCUGCUAUAAGU